UACGGGGGGGGCAAGCGUUGUUCGGAAUUACUGGGCGUAAAGGGCUCGUAGGCGGCCAACUAAGUCAGACGUGAAAUCCCUCGGCUUAACCGGGGAACUGCGUCUGAUACUGGUUGGCUUGAAUCCGGGAGAGGGAUGUGGAAUUCCAGGUGUAGCGGUGAAAUGCGUAGAUAUCAGGAGGAAUACCGAUGGCGAAGGCAGGUCUCUGGGCUGACACUGACGCUCAUGCACGAAAGCGUGGGGAGCAAACAGG
Molecule: ribosomal RNA, 253 nt
Filed under: uncultured bacterium
Lineage: Bacteria
Description: partial 16S ribosomal RNA
Rfam family: Bacterial small subunit ribosomal RNA
Source: RNAcentral